CGACCGUCGAUGGAUAGACAGAAACAUACAGAUAGAUAGAUAGAUAGACAGAAACAUACAUAGUAAGUUGAAGGAUUUUAAUUGUUUGGAAAAAGUCAAUUUGGUCAAUUUAGUAUGAAAAAUGAUCAACUUCAAAACGAUGUAUCUCCGGCAAUUUUAAACCUACAUAGUCGAGUGAUAGCUCGUUUUGCUCGUAUUUGAAGCGAGAAUA
Molecule: long non-coding RNA, 211 nt
Organism: Bradysia coprophila
Lineage: Eukaryota; Metazoa; Arthropoda; Insecta; Diptera; Sciaridae
Source: RefSeq, a predicted model, not a curated record